RNAcentral lists this ribosomal RNA (774 nucleotides) under uncultured cyanobacterium. RNAcentral describes it as "bacterial SSU rRNA". It matches the Rfam family "Bacterial small subunit ribosomal RNA", at positions 8 to 796 of the family's 1533-position model. Lineage: Bacteria; Bacillati; Cyanobacteriota. The record is from RNAcentral.
AGAGUUUGAUCAUGGCUCAGGAUAAACGCUGGCGGCGUGCCUUACGCAUGCAAGUCGAACGCAUCACUUCGGUGGUGAGUGGCGGACGGGUGAGGAACACGUACGUGACCUAUCCCAAACUGGGGGAUAACCGCCCGAAAGGGAGGCUAAUACCGCAUGUGGUCCCGGGGUUGCGGCCCUGGGAGUAAAGCCUGGUGCGGUUUGGGAGGGGCGUGCGGCCGAUUAGCUAGUUGGUGGGGUAAUAGCUUACCAAGGCGACGAUCGGUAGCUGGUCUGAGAGGACGGCCAGCCACACGGGGACUGAGACACGGCCCCGACUCCUACGGGAGGCAGCAGCGAGGAAUCUUGGUCAAUGGGCGCAAGCCUGAACCAGCGACACCGCGUGGAGGACGAAGGCCCUCGGGUCGUAAACUCCUUUUCUCUGGGAAGAAAGUUGUGAAAGCAACCUGACGGUACCAGAGGAAUCAGCAUCGGCUAACUCCGUGCCAGCAGCCGCGGUAAGACGGAGGAUGCAAGCGUUAUCCGGAAUGAUUGGGCGUAAAGCGUCCGCAGGUGGCAGUUCAAGUCUGCUGUCAAAGACCGGGGCUUAACUUCGGAAAGGCAGUGGAAACUGAACAGCUAGAGUAUGGUAGGGGCAGAGGGAAUUCCUGGUGUAGCGGUGAAAUGCGUAGAGAUCAGGAAGAACAUCGGUGGCGAAGGCGCUCUGCUGGACCAUAACUGACACUCAGGGACGAAAGCUAGGGGAGCGAAUGGGAUUAGAUACCCCUGUAGUCC